UCGGGAAUUUUGGGCAAUGGGCGAAAGCCUGACCCAGCAACGCCGCGUGAAGGAUGAAAUUUUUCGGAAUGUAAACUUCGCAAGAACGGGAAGAAUAAGUGGGGGAUAAUACCCCCCAUGAUGACGGUACCGUUUGUAAGCUCCGGCUAACUCCGUGCCAGCAGCCGCGGUAAUACGGGGGGAGCAAGCGUUGUUCGGAUUUACUGGGCGUAAAGGGCGCGUAGGCGGUCGUGACAAGUCACUUGUGAAAUCUCCGGGCUUAACUCGGAACGGUCAAGUGAUACUGUCGGACUAGAGUACAGAAGGGGCAACUGGAAUUCUCGGUGUAGCGGUGAAAUGCGUAGAUAUCGAGAGGAACACCUGCGGCGAAGGCGGGUUGCUGGGCUGAUACUGACGCUGAGGCGCGAAAGCCAGGGGAGCGAACGG
RNAcentral lists this ribosomal RNA (426 nucleotides) under uncultured bacterium. Its description in RNAcentral is "bacterial SSU rRNA". It matches the Rfam family "Bacterial small subunit ribosomal RNA", at positions 355 to 775 of the family's 1533-position model. The record is from RNAcentral.